AUUGAACGCUGGCGGCAUGCCUUACACAUGCAAGUCGAACGGUAACAGGUCUUCGGAUGCUGACGAGUGGCGAACGGGUGAGUAAUACAUCGGAACGUGCCCGAUCGCGGGGGAUAACGAGGCGAAAGCUUUGCUAAUACCGCAUACGAUCUACGGAUGAAAGCGGGGGAUCUUCGGACCUCGCGCGGACGGAGCGGCCGAUGGCAGAUUAGGUAGUUGGUGGGAUAAAAGCUUACCAAGCCGACGAUCUGUAGCUGGUCUGAGAGGAUGAUCAGCCACACUGGGACUGAGACACGGCCCAGACUCCUACGGGAGGCAGCAGUGGGGAAUUUUGGACAAUGGGCGAAAGCCUGAUCCAGCCAUGCCGCGUGAAGGAUGAAGGCCUUUGGGUUGUAAACUGCUUUUGUACGGAACGAAAAGCCUCUUUCUAAUAAAGAGGGGUCAUGACGGUACCGUAAGAAUAAGCACCGGCUAACUACGUG
This 482-nucleotide ribosomal RNA is filed under the name uncultured bacterium. RNAcentral describes it as "partial 16S ribosomal RNA". It matches the Rfam family "Bacterial small subunit ribosomal RNA", at positions 30 to 507 of the family's 1533-position model. The record is from RNAcentral.